GACGAACGCUGGCGGCGUGCCUAAUACAUGCAAGUAGAACGCUGAAGGAAGGAGCUUGCUCUUUCUGGAUGAGUUGCGAACGGGUGAGUAACGCGUAGGUAACCUGCCUGGUAGCGGGGGAUAACUAUUGGAAACGAUAGCUAAUACCGCAUAAAAUUGAUUAUUGCAUGAUAGUCAAUUAAAAGGUGCAACUGCACCACUACCAGAUGGACCUGCGUUGUAUUAGCUAGUUGGUGGGGUAACGGCUCACCAAGGCGACGAUACAUAGCCGACCUGAGAGGGUGAUCGGCCAAACUGGGACUGAGACACGGCCCAGACUCCUACGGGAGGCAGCAGUAGGGAAUCUUCGGCAAUGGACGGAAGUCUGACCGAGCAACGCCGCGGGAGUGAAGAAGGGUGUCGGAUCGUAAAGCUCUGUUGUAAGAGAAGAACGAGUGUGAGAGUGGAAAGUUCACACUGUGACGGUAUCUUACCAGAAAGGGACGGCUAACUACGUG
Molecule: ribosomal RNA, 497 nt
Filed under: uncultured bacterium
Lineage: Bacteria
Description: partial 16S ribosomal RNA
Rfam family: Bacterial small subunit ribosomal RNA
Source: RNAcentral